RNAcentral lists this ribosomal RNA (1230 nucleotides) under Triticum aestivum (bread wheat). Its description in RNAcentral is "partial small subunit ribosomal RNA". Lineage: Eukaryota; Viridiplantae; Streptophyta; Magnoliopsida; Poales; Poaceae. The record is from RNAcentral.
AUGAUGGCGCCGCCGGUUGUUCGGGAGCUGUGGGAGAUGGAAGAGCUCGUGGAGGAGAUCCUCGUCCGCAUCCCGCCGGAGGAGCCCGCGGUCCUCGUCCGCGCCUCCCUCGCCUGCAAGCCUUGGUGCCGCCUCCUCUCCGGCAAUGCCUUCCGCAACCGCUACCUCACCUUGCACAAAACACCUCCCAUCCUAGGCUUCUUACAAAGCUGGGAAGACCACGUCGAGCGCUUCGUCCCCACCACAAACUUCUGUCCCCAGAAUCCCGAUCGGCGGGAAAGUUUCGUGAUGGACUGCCGCCAUGGCCGCGUUCUUCUUCAGUGUGACUGGGACGAGGCGGAGAAAAAAGAAGGUGAUAUGGAGGAGGGAGAUUUAGAUGUGGGGGAGGAGGAAGGCAACUUGAAGAUGGUCGUCUGGGACCCGGUGUCGGGAAGCCGAACGAAGUUGCGCGGUCCUGACAUGUUCGACCCUGACAUCAACGGCACAAGCUAUUGGGGCACGGUGCUAUGUGCGUUGGAUGGCUGCAACCACGCUGCCUGCAACUUGGGCCCAUUUUUUGUGGCUUUAAUCACCCUUGACAUGCAGGAUGAGGAAGAUGAGAUCCAGGAUGGCAAUUAUACGAGCCACGUGUGGGCGUCUAUAUACUCAUCAGAGACCCGAGAGUGGACCUCACCUACCUCUAUUCACAUCGGUGGCGUUGGAAGAUUUGGAGCCUCCGUCGUCGGAAGGCCUAGUGUCCUUGUAGGACAAGCGCUCCACCUCCUCCUUCGUCGGGAUCCAACUGCGUCAGACAUUUGUAUUCUCAAGUAUGACUUGGGUACGGAUCGCCUGACAGUCAUUGAUUUGCCAGGGAUGUGUGUGAGCAGUUCGAACCCCCUCCUCAUCUCGGCGGAUGACAGUGGGCUUGGGCUCGUCUAUCUAGACCAGGACAUGAUGUGCUUCAUAUGCUCAGUGGAGGUAAGUGUUGAUGGAGUAGCGUCGUGGACCCAACUCAGAGAAAUUGACCUCAAGACACUUGUCCCCAUUCGUAAACCGAUGAAGUUAUCUUCACGAAAGUUGGUUGGCUGUUUAGAGGGCACCAGUAUCAUCAUUGUUGUCACUGAUCUCGGUGCAUUCACAAUUGAUCUCAAGUCCUUGAGGUUGAGGAAGUUGUCGAGUAAGCCGUAUAAAUUCACAUACCUGCGAGAUCUAUUUGAUAACCUCUUUCUCUACACGAGCUUCAACAAUCCA